GACGAACGCUGGCGGCGUGCUUAACACAUGCAAGUCGAACGGUAAGGCCCUUCGGGGUACACGAGUGGCGAACGGGUGAGUAACACGUGGGUGAUCUGCCCUGCACUUCGGGAUAAGCCUGGGAAACUGGGUCUAAUACCGGAUAGGACCACUGCCUGCAUGGGUGGUGGUGGAAAGCUUUUGCGGUGUGGGAUGGGCCCGCGGCCUAUCAGCUUGUUGGUGGGGUGAGGGCCUACCAAGGCGACGACGGGUAGCCGGCCUGGGAGGGUGACCGGCCACACUGGGCCUGAGAUACGGCCCAGACUCCUACGGGAGGCAGCGGAGGGAAAUAUUGCACAAUGGGCGCAAGCCUGAGGCAGCGACGCCGCGUGAGGGAUGACGGCCUUCGGGUUGUAAACCUCUUUCAGCACCGACGAAGCGCAAGUGACGGUAGGUGCAGAAGAAGGACCGGCCAACUACGUGCCAGCCGCCGCAGUAA
RNAcentral lists this ribosomal RNA (478 nucleotides) under uncultured bacterium. Its description in RNAcentral is "partial 16S ribosomal RNA". It matches the Rfam family "Bacterial small subunit ribosomal RNA", at positions 28 to 523 of the family's 1533-position model. The record is from RNAcentral.